CCUGCCGCCGCUUCUCGUCCUCGUAAAACUUGGGGAAAUUCUCAUUUUUGUGGCACGGUACUGAAAGCCCCCUUCGGAGAGAAGAGUUCUUGAAAAGCCGGAGCUGCCCCUGGUGCUUGUUUGUUCUCAGCAGAGAUAAUCACCCUCUGGAAGAGCUGGAAAAUACACAACCCUACUGGUGAUGUGGAAGAAAGCUGGAAACCAUCCUAAACGCAAUGUGACUCCAUCGACAGACCUCACAGUGGAGUUAAAAAGGUUGCAUCCUGACCAUAGGCUGCCUGGUGGAAGAUUUCCAAUCAGCUGGCAGCUGGAGGCCUUCUGUGGCUGCUUCCCCAGGGCUGAACAUUGUUUGGGUGAAGGGAUGGUGUGGGGAGCACCAGAGGAGCCAUCACUGUCAACCUAAGGUAGAACACUCAGAGAAAGGCAGGCUUGAUAUGCGUUUUGAGAUCUACAGUUGUUAAAUCAUGAUUUAUUUAAAUUGUUACUUGCAGUCUCAGCUAUUAAGGGAGCACUUUGUAGGUUUCAGAAGACUGUCUGGUUUCAGAGCUGCUUGUCGCAGGCCUUUCUCAGCUCUUAUGUUGUAAACAGUGUUGAACUUCUGCUUUUCUUGUGUGUUUUUUGGACACCAUUCUCUGAUAUGCAUUUCAUCGUCUCCUAUAUUCCUUUCCCCUGCCUCUCUGAAGUUUGAGUGCUGACAUCAAUCUUUUAUUUUUGCCAAUACUGCUUGUGUUUAAAUUCCAACAACAAAAUAAAAAGAAACUGCAUGA
Molecule: long non-coding RNA, 767 nt
Organism: Cygnus olor (mute swan)
Lineage: Eukaryota; Metazoa; Chordata; Aves; Anseriformes; Anatidae
Exons: 4
Source: RefSeq, a predicted model, not a curated record